RNAcentral lists this ribosomal RNA (1354 nucleotides) under Klebsiella pneumoniae. RNAcentral describes it as "partial 23S ribosomal RNA". It matches the Rfam family "Bacterial large subunit ribosomal RNA", at positions 1573 to 2925 of the family's 2925-position model. The record is from RNAcentral. Lineage: Bacteria; Pseudomonadati; Pseudomonadota; Gammaproteobacteria; Enterobacterales; Enterobacteriaceae.
GGCACUACGGUGCUAAAGUAACAAAUGCCCUGCUUCGGGAAAAGCCUCUAAGCAUCAGGUAACAUCAAAUCGUACCCCAAACCGACACAGGUGGUCAGAGAAUACCAAGGCGCUUGAGAGCUCGGGUGAAGGAACUAGGCAAAAUGGUGCCGUAACUUCGGGAGAAGGCACGCUGGUGUGUAGGUGAAGUCCCUGCGGAUGGAGCUGAGACCAGUCGAAGAUACCAGCUGGCUGCAACUGUUUAUUAAAAACACAGCACUGUGCAAACACGAAAGUGGACGUAUACGGUGUGACGCCUGCCCGGUGCCGGAAGGUUAAUUGAUGGGGUUAUCCGUAAGGAGAAGCUCUUGAUCGAAGCCCGGUAAACGGCGGCCGUAACUAUAACGGUCCUAAGGUAGCGAAAUUCCUUGUCGGGUAAGUUCCGACCUGCACGAAUGGCGUAAUGAUGGCGGGCUGUCUCCACCCGAGACUCAGUGAAAUUGAACUCGCUGUGAAGAUGCAGUGUACCCGCGGCAAGACGGAAAGACCCGUGAACCUUUACUAUAGCUUGACACUGAACAUUGAGCCUUGAUGUGUAGGAUAGGUGGGAGGCUUUGAAGCGUGGACGCCAGUCUGCGUGGAGCCAACCUGAAAUACCACCCUUUGUUUGAUGUUCUAACGUUGGCCCCUGACCGGGGUUGCGGACAGUGUCUGGUGGGUAGUUUGACUGGGGCGGUCUCCUCCCAAAGCGUAACGGAGGAGCACGAAGGUUAGCUAAUCUGGUCGGACAUCAGGAGGUUAGUGCAAUGGCAUAAGCUAGCUUGACUGCGAGCGUGACGGCGCGAGCAGGUGCAGCAGGUCAUAGUGAUCCGGUGGUUCUGAAUGGAAGGGCCAUCGCUCAACGGAUAAAGGUACUCCGGGGAUAACAGGCUGAUACCGCCCAAGAGUUCAUAUCGACGGCGGUGUUUGGCACCUCGAUGUCGGCUCAUCACAUCACGGGGCUGAAGUAGGUCCCAAGGGUAUGGCUGUUCGCCAUUUAAAGUGGUACGCGAGCUGGGUUUAGAACGUCGUGAGACAGUUCGGUCCCUAUCUGCCGUGGGCGCUGGAGAAUUGAGGGCUGCUCCUAGUACGAGAGGACCGGGUGGACGCAUCACUGGUGUUCGGGUUGUCAUGCCAAUGGCACUGCCCGGUAGCUAAAUGCGGAAGAGAUAAGUGCUGAAAGCAUCUAAGCACGAAACUUGCCCCGAGAUGAGUUCUCCCUGAGACUUUAAGUCUCCUGAAGGAACGUUGAAGACGACGACGUUGAUAGGCCGGGUGUGUAAGCGCAGCGAUGCGUUGAGCUAACCGGUACUAAUGAACCGUGAGGCUUAACCUU